UGAUUUUGUUUUAAAGGGUCCGAGAGUCU
This 29-nucleotide non-coding RNA is filed under the name Rattus norvegicus (Norway rat). Lineage: Eukaryota; Metazoa; Chordata; Mammalia; Rodentia; Muridae. The record is from RNAcentral.